RNAcentral lists this ribosomal RNA (1475 nucleotides) under metagenome. RNAcentral describes it as "bacterial SSU rRNA". It matches the Rfam family "Bacterial small subunit ribosomal RNA". The record is from RNAcentral.
AGAGUUUGAUCCUGGCUCAGGAUGAACGCUAGCGGGAGGCUUAACACAUGCAAGUCGAGGGGUAAUCCCGAUUUAUCGGGAACGACCGGCGCACGGGUGAGUAACGCGUAUGCAACCUACCUUUUACAGAGGAAUAGCCCAGAGAAAUUUGGAUUAAUACCUCAUAGUACUGUUAAUUCGCAUGAUUUGACAGUUAGAGUUUCGGCGGUAAAAGAUGGGCAUGCGUGACAUUAGAUAGUUGGCGGGGUAACGGCCCACCAAGUCAGCGAUGUCUAGGGGUUCUGAGAGGAUGAUCCCCCACACUGGUACUGAGACACGGACCAGACUCCUACGGGAGGCAGCAGUGAGAAAUAUUGGUCAAUGGACGCAAGUCUGAACCAGCCAUCCCGCGUGAAGGAUGACGGUCCUAUGGAUUGUAAACUUCUUUUAUGUACCAAGAAUGUGCCCUACGUGUAGGGUUUUGACGGUAGUACAUGAAUAAGCAUCGGCUAACUCCGUGCCAGCAGCCGCGGUAAUACGGAGGAUGCGAGCGUUAUCCGGAUUCAUUGGGUUUAAAGGGUGCGUAGGCGGCUUAUUAAGUCAGUGGUGAAAUCCUGCGGCUCAACCGUAGAACUGCCAUUGAAACUGAUAAGCUUGAAUAUAGUUGAGGUAGGCGGAAUGAGUAGUGUAGCGGUGGAAUGCUUAGAGAUUACUCAGAACACCGAUUGCGAAGGCAGCUUACUAAACUAAUAUUGACGCUGAGGCACGAAAGCGUGGGGAGCGAACAGGAUUAGAUACCCUGGUAGUCCACGCCGUAAACGAUGUUCACUCGCUGCUUGCGAUACAUAGUAAGUGGCCAAGCGAGAGCAUUAAGUGAACCACCUGGGGAGUACGUCGGCAACGGUGAAACUCAAAGGAAUUGACGGGGGCCCGCACAAGCGGAGGAACAUGUGGUUUAAUUCGACAUACGCGAGGAACCUUACCUGGGCUUAAAUGUAGAUUGCAUGUGGUGGAAACACCCUUCUCUUCGGAGCUAUCUACAAGGUGCUGCAUGGUUGUCGUCAGCUCGUGCCGUGAGGUGUCGGGUUAAGUCCCAUAACGAGCGCAACUCCUAUCGUUAGUUGCCAUCAGGUUAAGCUGGGGACUCUAACGAGACUGCCACCGUAAGGUGAGAGGAAGGUGGGGAUGACGUCAAAUCAGCACGGCCCUUAUGUCCAGGGCUACACACGUGUUACAAUGGCAGGUACAAAGGGCAGCUACACCGCGAGGUGAUGCUAAUCUCGAAAGCCUGUCUCAGUUCGGAUCGGAGUCUGCAACUCGACUCCGUGAAGUUGGAUUCGCUAGUAAUCGCGUAUCAGCAAUGACGCGGUGAAUACGUUCCCGGGCCUUGUACACACCGCCCGUCAAACCAUGGAAGCUGGGGGGACCUGAAGUCUGUCACCGUAAGGAGCGGCCUAGGGUAAAACCGGUAACUGGGGUUAAGUCGGAACAAGGUA